RNAcentral lists this long non-coding RNA (250 nucleotides) under Lathyrus oleraceus (garden pea). RNAcentral's name for it is "Pisum sativum (pea) long non-coding RNA (PSAT_LNC007529)". The record is from RNAcentral. Lineage: Eukaryota; Viridiplantae; Streptophyta; Magnoliopsida; Fabales; Fabaceae.
AAAAAGGUCAAAGGACCUUGGAUAAAAAAUUUCAUAAAUUUUGGACCCUUAAAAAUAUUUUUAAACAAUUAAAAACAAAUGAAAAAUCAAUUAAUUCAUGAAAAAUAUUAAUAAUGAUCCAAAAAAUAAUUUAAAUCAGAAUAUGAAAGAGAAAAAUAUUUGAAAAUUUUUGGUGAAAGUCCCAUAUUUUUUGGAUCAAUAUUGAAUUUAAUAUGAAUUAUUGAAGAAAAUAAAAUAAAAAGGAAAAUCA